RNAcentral lists this ribosomal RNA (532 nucleotides) under Pseudobithynia pentheri. RNAcentral describes it as "partial large subunit ribosomal RNA". It matches the Rfam family "Bacterial large subunit ribosomal RNA", at positions 1793 to 2597 of the family's 2925-position model. Lineage: Eukaryota; Metazoa; Mollusca; Gastropoda; Littorinimorpha; Hydrobiidae. The record is from RNAcentral.
GGGUCGCCUGUUUAUCAAAAACAUCGCUCCUUGAUAACAAAACAUAUAAGGAGUCAGGCCUGCCCAGUGAUAUAUUUCAACGGCCGCGGUACUCUGACCGUGCAAAGGUAGCAUAAUCAUUUGCCCUAUAAUUAAGGGCUCGUAUGAACGGUCCGACAAGAAUAAAGCUGUCUCUUUUAAAAUUACUAAAAUUUGGUUUUUAGGUGAAGAAACCUAAAUAAUAUUGAUAGACAAGAAGACCCUAUCGAGCUUUAAAACAAUUAGCUAAAUAAAUAGAAUAAACUAAAUCUAGCUAAAAAUUUUGGUUGGGGCGACUAAGGAACACAUAAAGCUUCCUCAACUCAACACUUUAACGCUUUUCAGCAAUGAUCCAAAAUAUUUGAUUAAUAAAAUUAGUUACCGUAGGGAUAACAGCAUAAUCUUUUUUAAAAGUUCCUAUCGAAAAAAAGGUUUGUGACCUCGAUGUUGGACUAGGAUAUCCAGACAGAUGCAGAAGUCUUCAAUGGUUGGUCUGUUCGACCAAUAAAAUCCU